GGGGAAUAUUGCACAAUGGGCGCAAGCCUGAUGCAGCGACGCCGCGUGGGGGAUGAAGGCCUUCGGGUUGUAAACUCCUUUCGCUAGGGACGGAGCUUUUUGGUGACGGUACCUAGAUAAGAAGCACCGGCUAACUACGUGCCAGCAGCCGCGGUAAUACGUAGGGUGCGAGCGUUGUCCGGAAUUACUGGGCGUAAAGGGCUCGUAGGUGGUUUGUCGCGUCGUCUGUGAAAUUCUGGGGCUUAACUCCGGGCGUGCAGGCGAUACGGGCAUAACUUGAGUGCUGUAGGGGUAACUGGAAUUCCUGGUGUAGCGGUGAAAUGCGCAGAUAUCAGGAGGAACACCGAUGGCGAAGGCAGGUUACUGGGCAGUUACUGACGCUGAGGAGCGAAAGCAUGGGUAGCGAACAGGAUUAGAUACCCUGGUAGUCCAUGCCGUAAACGGUGGGCGCUAGGUGUGAGGGUCUUUCUACGACUUUCGUGCCGUAGCUAACGCAUUAAGCGCCCCGCCUGGGGAGUACGGCCGCAAGGCUA
Molecule: ribosomal RNA, 533 nt
Filed under: uncultured bacterium
Lineage: Bacteria
Description: bacterial SSU rRNA
Rfam family: Bacterial small subunit ribosomal RNA
Source: RNAcentral